This 30-nucleotide non-coding RNA is filed under the name Rattus norvegicus (Norway rat). Lineage: Eukaryota; Metazoa; Chordata; Mammalia; Rodentia; Muridae. The record is from RNAcentral.
AGGACUCAAGUAGCGUGGUGGCCUAGAACU